RNAcentral lists this ribosomal RNA (497 nucleotides) under uncultured bacterium. Its description in RNAcentral is "partial 16S ribosomal RNA". It matches the Rfam family "Bacterial small subunit ribosomal RNA", at positions 28 to 507 of the family's 1533-position model. The record is from RNAcentral.
GAUGAACGCUGGCGGCGUGCCUAAUACAUGCAAGUCGAGCGAACGGACGAGAAGCUUGCUUCUCUGAUGUUAUCGGCGGACGGGUGAGUAACACGUGGAUAACCUACCUAUAAGACUGGGAUAACUUCGGGAAACCGGAGCUAAUACCGGAUGAUAUUUUGAACCGCAUGGUUCAAAAGUGAAAGACGGUCUUGCUGUCACUUAUAGAUGGAUCUGCGCUGCAUUAGCUAGUUGGUAAGGUAACGGCUUACCAAGGCAACGAUGCAUAGCCGACCUGAGGGGGUGAUCGGCCACACUGGAACUGAGACACGGUCCAGACUCCUACGGGAGGCAGCAGUAGGGAAUCUUCCGCAAUGGGCGAAAGCCUGACGGAGCAACGCCGCGUGAGUGAUGAAGGUCUUCGGAUCGUAAAACUCUGUUAUUAGGGAAGAACAUAUGUGUAAGUAACUGUGCACAUCUUGACGGUACCUAAUCAGAAAGCCACGGCUAACUACGUG